GACGAACGCUGGCGGCGCGCCUAACACAUGCAAGUCGAACGAGCGAGAGGAGGUUUACUUUCUCAAGCGAGUGGCGAACGGGUGAGUAACGCGUGAGGAACCUGCCUCAAAGAGGGGGACAACAGUUGGAAACGACUGCUAAUACCGCAUAAGCCCACGACCCGGCAUCGGGUAGAGGGAAAAGGAGCAAUCCGCUUUGAGAUGGCCUCGCGUCCGAUUAGCUAGUUGGUGAGGUAAUGGCCCACCAAGGCGACGAUCGGUAGCCGGACUGAGAGGUUGAACGGCCACAUUGGGACUGAGACACGGCCCAGACUCCUACGGGAGGCAGCAGUGGGGAAUAUUGCACAAUGGGGGAAACCCUGAUGCAGCGACGCCGCGUGGAGGAAGAAGGUCUUCGGAUUGUAAACUCCUGUUGUUGAGGAAGAUAAUGACGGUACUCAACAAGGAAGUGAUGGCUA
RNAcentral lists this ribosomal RNA (458 nucleotides) under uncultured bacterium. RNAcentral describes it as "bacterial SSU rRNA". It matches the Rfam family "Bacterial small subunit ribosomal RNA", at positions 28 to 499 of the family's 1533-position model. The record is from RNAcentral.